RNAcentral lists this long non-coding RNA (2169 nucleotides) under Nicotiana benthamiana. RNAcentral's name for it is "long non-coding RNA (NBEN_LNC013487)". The record is from RNAcentral. Lineage: Eukaryota; Viridiplantae; Streptophyta; Magnoliopsida; Solanales; Solanaceae.
GGAUUUGGGUCGCAUCAAUGCGCACCCGAGUUUAAGAAAGUAAUAUAAAUAAAUCGUGCCUAAAGAUUCAAACGUAGUAUUAUUUCGGAAAAGGCCGUAAAAUUCGCUAAACGACUCUCCCAGAUUCUAAUUGUUUCGAUAACCAGUUAUUGAGGGCCCCGUAAUUUGUAAUUUUAGUUGGCAAGGCUCAUCUCAUCUUUAUUUUAAAAGGGAAGCUUAAAAGCAACUACGAUUUCCUAUUUUUGUUUUUGUUUUUCUUUAGUCUCUUAACAAACAAAACUAACAAUCAGAUAAACUACUUUAAUUGAACAACCCAAAGCUUCUGAUUUCUCAGACUUUCAGGCCCAAUGAAUCAAGCGUAUUAAUAAGCCAACUCCCAGCUCAAGCAACGGGGACUGCCUCAGAUAGAACCCAGGCUGAAACUCCAAAUUUCGAGCACUGGAGGGCAUGGGCUUUAAGCGUAGCCCAGCGACCUCAACCCGUUGGAAAUAUGUGGAAGGCCAUCAAACCCCCGCCGUAGAAAAAUGAAGAAGUAAUAUUUAAAGCAAAAAAUUAUUGAAAAUACUUAUGCACUGAGUUUAUACCAUGUUAUAAACAAUAACGAAGAAGAGCUUCAUAUUUGAAAAUCAUGGUAGAAUAUUAAUAAUUAAUAAAAUUAGCAAGAAAACUCACAGAUUGAGCUCCAAUUCUUAAAUGACACUUAUACCCUCUGCCAUAGAAAAAUGAAGGAGUAAUAAUUAAAGCCAAAAAUUGUUCAAAAUACUUAUGCUUUGAGUUUAUACCAAGUUAUGAACAAUAACGAAGAAGAGCUUCAUAUUUGAAAAUCAGAAAAUCAUGGUAGAAUAUUAAUAAUUAAUAAAAUUAGCAACAAAACUCGCAGAUUGAACUCAAAUUCUUAAAUGAUACUUAUACAAAAAUUAAAACAAGGCUUAAAUAGAAAGCUACGAUUUUCUAUUUUUGUUUUUCAUUAGUCUCUUAACAAACAAAACUAACAAUCAGAUCAACUUCUUUAUUUGAACAACCCAAAGCUUCUGAUUUCCCAGACUUUCAGGCCCAAUGAAUCAAGCCUAAUAAUAAGCCAACUCCCAGCUCAAGCAACGAGGAGUGCCUCAGAUCGAACCCAGGCUGAAAAUCCAAAAUUCGAGCAUUGGAGGCCAUGGGCUUUAAGCGUAGCCCAGCGACCUCAACCCGUUGGAAAUAUGUGGAAGGCCAUCAAACCCCCGCCGUAGAAAAAUGAAGAAGUAAUAUUUAAAGCAAAAAAUUAUUGAAAAUACUUAUGCACUGAGUUUAUACCAUGUUAUAAACAAUAACGAAGAAGAGCUUCAUAUUUGAAAAUCAUGGUAGAAUAUUAAUAAUUAAUAAAAUUAGCAAGAAAACUCACAGAUUGAGCUCCAAUUCUUAAAUGACACUUAUACCCAAAUUAAAACAAGGCUUAAAUUGAUGCAUCUCCAACAUACAUCCAACGAGCACGGAUGACCAAGGUGAUUGCAUUUCAUCCCCAAAUUGUGGUUAUAUCAAGAAUAUUUCAAGAGUGUACCUGGAAAUUGGAAUGUAAAUAGAGAAGGAGAGGUUAGCUGCAGUAAAAACUUAGCAGUAGCUCGAAAAAUAGAUUAUAACUCAGUCACAGUAAGUGAAGUAGUAGCACGGUCACACCGAGGUUCAACAAUUCAGAAGAAAUGAGUUGAAAAGCAAAGAAAAUCCAAUAAAUAAACCCAAGCAGCCUUAAUUUAGUCCCAGAAUGACUCGAACAAACAGACUAGAGCAGACCUCAACCCUAAGCACCCAGGCAACAAAAGAAAUAGAUUCAGAUUCGAGUGUAACCAGUGUCUAACCCUCAGCUACCCAUUGUUGAACUAGGAAUUCAAAAUAAAUUACCCAAACCUUGAAAUUAGACCAAAGAUAUCAAUGAAAUAGUAAUUUUUUUUGUGUUUCUGUAUUUGUUUGUUUUUUUUUUUUGUGUUUUGGGAUUUGAAUUUCUACCUUAGAUUUCGAAGAGACUAAUCUAAGAGAGAAGUUCGAAUUACAAAUUGCAAAAAUCUGGAGAUCUUAAAAUUAGAGUGUCAAGAGUAUUUCGAGGCUAAUAUUGGCUGAAAAAGAGAAGACCCUUUCACAAGGAAAUGCAAUACCUAUUUAUAGGUAAACAAGCAAAUCUUUUAUUUUCUUUUAGUC